RNAcentral lists this long non-coding RNA (324 nucleotides) under Brassica napus (rape). RNAcentral describes it as "long non-coding RNA (BNAP_LNC016493)". Lineage: Eukaryota; Viridiplantae; Streptophyta; Magnoliopsida; Brassicales; Brassicaceae. The record is from RNAcentral.
AUUCGUCGUAAACCGACGUUUCGACGUAAUUUCGUCGUAAAUUGAAAAACGCGGGCCUGGUAACUUCGUCGUAAAUGAAAACGCGGGCCUGGUAACUUCGUCGUAAUAUUACGUCGCGUUUACGACGAAUCCUUUUCUAUAUACUGAGACGCCGAGACGAGGCAGCCACGUUCAUUCCUCCCAAAUUCCUCUCCUCUCCCUCUAAGGUACAUUCUCUUUCCUCCUUUUUGUUUUUUUUUAAGUUAGUUUAGGUUAUUAAUUAGUUAGGUAAUUAGUUUAGGUAAUUAGUUUAGGUGAUUAGUUAGAUAAUUAGUUUAGGUGAUU